CAAAGAUACGGUUAAACAAGGCCUAGCACAGGCCAACAAUUUUUUGCCAUGUGGCAGUUGUUUUGAAUUUACCUAGGUUUUUUUUUCUUUUUCUGUAUGUGGAGGGAGAAGAGGAAAGGUAUUGAAGGGAAGUAACUGUAUUCUAUGAUUUUAUUUCAGAUGCAGCUGUUCUCUUAGUUACAUUGGCAGAUUGUGUGUUGUCAAUGUUGACUAUUGCUUAGGGAACCACAGUAUAUCAGUGCAUGGCCUCUGCCUGGCCCUUUCGCACAAUUGUAACUGUAGCGGUCUGCAAAGAUAUGAAAGGAACAUCUGUGAGAUAGAUACUGAAGACUGCAAAUCUGCGUCCUGCAAAAAUGGAACAACUAGUACACAUUUAAGGGGAUAUUUCUUCCGCAAGUGUGUCCCAGGAUUUAAAGGUACGCAAUGUGAAAUUGAUAUAGAUGAGUGUGCUUCACAUCCCUGCAAAAAUGGAGCCACCUGCAUUGACCAACCUGGUAAUUACUUCUGCCAGUGUGUGCCUCCAUUUAAAGCUGGAAACAUGUCUGGUAUAUCAG
This 554-nucleotide long non-coding RNA is filed under the name Homo sapiens (human). RNAcentral describes it as "HSALNT0334886". The record is from RNAcentral. Lineage: Eukaryota; Metazoa; Chordata; Mammalia; Primates; Hominidae.